This is an unclassified non-coding RNA of 232 nucleotides. The stretch from base 1 to 46 matches the Rfam family "Eukaryotic small subunit ribosomal RNA", at positions 1786 to 1831 of the family's 1831-position model.
AAGUCGUAACAAGGUCUCCGUAGGUGAACCUGCGGAGGGAUCAUUACCAUCCUUUACUUGUAUGCGUCUUGGCAGUUGCUGAGACCAUACAACUCUCAACCCCGCGAAUUGAUACCCUUGUUCUCUCGAGAGCAGGGGAAACCCACUUUUUACCCACCCCUCACCUUGAUAUUAAUCUAAUCAUGUGAUAUGAAAUCUCAUACCACUCCUCCCAAUGGAUAUCUUGGCUCUC